Molecule: microRNA precursor, 98 nt
Filed under: Heterocephalus glaber (naked mole-rat)
Lineage: Eukaryota; Metazoa; Chordata; Mammalia; Rodentia; Bathyergidae
Description: mir-544 microRNA precursor family
Rfam family: mir-544 microRNA precursor family
Source: Rfam by way of RNAcentral
AUCACUUAGGGGCCUUAUUAAAAUGCAGAUUUUGAUUCAGCAGAUCCUGGAUAGGACCUGAGAUUCUGCAUUACCAAUAAGCUCCCAAGUGAUGCCAA